RNAcentral lists this long non-coding RNA (650 nucleotides) under Mytilus galloprovincialis (Mediterranean mussel). Lineage: Eukaryota; Metazoa; Mollusca; Bivalvia; Mytilida; Mytilidae. The record is from RNAcentral.
AUCUAUUUUAAUAAACAUAGGAUUUAAAAACUGCAAGUGCAAACAAAUUUAAUCAUUACAUAAUCAGCUGAUAAUUUUUUACGCAAACAUCGUGGUGAUGUAACUGAUAAAAAUCACGCCAUCAAUCCUCCAGCCCUUUCACAUAUUAAGCAAUAGAUCUACUUAUUAUUGUAGAAUAUUCAAUGAAUAUACAUUCAUCGUCUAAUUGAAUAUAUUGGGUAAUCGGAUAUAUUUAGCUGACAUUUUGGGUAUCCGAUUGGCCGGAGUCUACUGUCAUGACUGUACUACCAUAAAGCUGAGACUACUUUAAUGUGUUAUAGUAGUCUCAGCAUAAAGAUAAUAAAUAGUAUUUAUUGUGAACUUGUUCUCGUCCUGAAUAUGCAUGAAAUAUUUGCCACUGGACGUUAAGCAACCAACAAUCAAACAAUCCAAUGAGGGUUUCCCCUCAUUUGGAGUGUUGUUCCCAACCUGUUAAAGGUCUAUCUUUGUGUAUAAUUCAAAUUGGAAAUUUGAACAAACAUCUAAUAUUCUUACACAAAUAAAUAAACCCUGGUCUGCUAGCUACAUGUUCAUCUUUUCUACCGAUUUAAUAACUAGAAUCAUACAAACAGACUUAGGAAAAAGGCAUGUAAGUUCAGUAUACAAAUAUG